AGGGCGCAGGGCGAAUGCCUUGGCACUGGGAGCCGAUGAAAGACGUGAUAAGCUGCGAUAAGCUUCGGGGAGCUGCAAAUAAGCAUUGAUCCGGAGAUCUCUGAAUGAGGAAACUCACCUGGGUUCAUACUCAGGUACAUUACACUGAAAUUCAAAAUAGGUGUAUUGAGGGAACCGCCUGAACUGAAACAUCUAAGUAGGGCGAGGAAGAGACAUCAAACGAGAUUCCGUAAGUAGUGGCGAGCGAACGCGGAAGAGGGCAAACCGAGAGUAGAAAUACUUUCGGGGUACGGACUGCUUUUAAGACUCAAUCUGUUAACCGAACGGCAUGGGAAGGCCGGUCAGAGAGUGUGAGAACCACGUAGGUGAAAACGGAGAGAGCUGCGCAGGAUCCAGAGUACGGCCAGACACGUGAAACCUGGUCGGAAUACGGGGGGACCACCCUCCAACCCUAAAUACUACCCAGUGACCGAUAGCGUAUAGUACUGUGAAGGAAAGGUGAAAAGCACCCCGGGAGGGGAGUGAAAAAGAACCUGAAACCCUGUGCCUACAAGCACCUAGAGCACGUCAAUGUGUGAUAGGGUACUUUUUGUAGAACGGUCCGGCGAGCGAUUGUAUGCAGCAAGGUUAAGGACUUAAGGUCUGGAGCCGAAGCGAAAGCGAGUUUGAAAAGGGCGUUAAGUUGCAUAUAAUGGGCCCGAAACCGGGUGACCUACCCAUGGUCAGGUUGAAGUGGAAGUAAAAUUCCAUGGAGGACCGAACCGACCUCCGUUGAAAAGGCGGCGGAUGAACUGUGGGUAGCGGAGAAAUUCCAAUCGAACCCGGAGAUAGCUGGUUCUCCCCGAAAUAGUUUUAGGACUAGCCUCAAGUUAGAUACCUGGAGGUAAAGCACUGAAUAGCCUAGCGGCCGAGAGGUUAGCGAAGCUUAUCAAACUCAGAAUGCCAGAGUAUUGAUGCUUGGGAGUCAGACAGUGUCAGAUAAAUGUCAUUGUCAAAAGGGAAACAGCCCAGAUCUACAGCUAAGGUCCCAAAGUCAGGUUAAGUGGAAAACGAUGUGAAGAUACGCAGACAACCAGGAUGUUGGCUCAGAAGCAGCCACUCAUUCAAAGAGUGCGUAAUAGCUCACUGGUCGAGCGUCUUUGCGCGGAGAAUUUAACGGGGCUAAACCUGACACCGAAGCUUAGGCAAUGCAGUAAUACAUUGGGUAGGGGAGCGUUGUAUACGCGGAGAAACAGUAGCGCAAGCGGCUGUGGAGUGUAUAGAAGUGAGAAUGCCGGAAUGAGUAGCGCGAAUGCAGUGAGAAUCUGCAUGGCCGAAAGCCUCAGGUUUCUGGAGGAAGGUUCGUCCGCUCCAGGUUAGUCGGGAGCUAAGGUGAGGCCGGAAGGCGUAGCCGAUGCACAGACGGUAGAGAUUCCGUCACCACCAAAAGAGUUAAGCACAGGGACACAUAUGAAGUCUCAGAGCCGGGUGUUGGUUCCGGUAGAGAUCGAGGGAAAUUAGUACCGAAGUCUGAGAUGGAAGAUGGCGAGAAAAGCUGUGUGUAUUUCUGAGGUGCCCGUACCGCAAACCGACACAGGUAGGUAGGAAGAAGAUUCUAAGGCCAACGGGAGAAGGGUUGUUAAGGAACUCGGCAAAUUGACCCCGUAACUUCGGGAGAAGGGGUGCUCCAGAGAUGGAGCCGCAGAGAAUCGGCCCAAGCAACUGUUUACCAAAAACACAGGUUUGUGCUAAAUCGAAAGAUGACGUAUACGAGCUGACGCCUGCCCGGUGCUGGAAGGUUAAGAGGAGAUGUGCAAGCAUUGAAUCGAAGCCCCAGUGAACGGCGGCCGUAACUAUAACGGUCCUAAGGUAGCGAAAUUCCUUGUCAGGUAAGUUCUGACCCGCAUGAAAGGCGUAAUGAUUUGGGCACUGUCUCAACAGCCCGCCCGGCGAAAUUGUAGUACCGGUGAAGAUGCCGGUUACCCGCGACAAGACGGAAAGACCCCAUGGAGCUUUACUGUAGCCUAAUAUUGGGUUUCGAUGUUGCAUGCACAGGAUAGAUGGGACACUGGGAAACAAUCGCUUUGGCGGUUGCGGAGUGGCCGUUGGGAUACCAUCCUUGCGAUAUUGGAAUUCUAACCUGCGGCUCUGAAUCGAGUCGGGGGACAUUGUUAGGUGGGCAGUUUGACUGGGGCGGUCGCCUCCUAAAGAGUAACGGAGGCGUUCAAAGGUUCGCUCAGCUUGAACGGAAAUCAAGCAAAAGAGUGCAAACGCAGAAGCGAGCCUAACUGCGAGACUGACGGGUCGAGCAGUAACGAAAGUUGGAGUUAGUGAUCCGGUGGUAUGUGAGUGGAAAUGCCAUCGCUCAACGGAUAAAAGUUACCCUGGGGAUAACAGGCUGAUCUCCCCCAAGAGUCCACAUCGACGGGGAGGUUUGGCACCUCGAUGUCGGCUCAUCGCAUCCUGGGGCUGUAUUCGGUCCCAAGGGUUUGGCUGUUCGCCAAUUAAAGCGGUACGCGAGCUGGGUUCAGAACGUCGUGAGACAGUUCGGUCCCUAUCUGUCGUGGGCGCAGGAUAUUUGAUGGGAGCUGUCCCUAGUACGAGAGGACCGGGACGGACGUACCUCUGGCGCACCAGUUGUUCCGCCAGGAGCAUAGCUGGGCAACUACGUACGGAUCGGAUAAACGCUGAAAGCAUCUAAGCGUGAAGCCGACCCAAAGAUAAGAUAUCCCACUGAUUCAAUCAGGUAAGAUCCCUUGU
This 2739-nucleotide ribosomal RNA is filed under the name human gut metagenome. RNAcentral describes it as "bacterial LSU rRNA". It matches the Rfam family "Bacterial large subunit ribosomal RNA". The record is from RNAcentral.